Long non-coding RNA from Vespa mandarinia (Asian giant hornet), 1512 nucleotides. The record is from RefSeq and is a predicted model, not a curated record. Lineage: Eukaryota; Metazoa; Arthropoda; Insecta; Hymenoptera; Vespidae.
GUGCAAAAGGUAGUUAACGUAAAAUUCAAUUAAUAGUUUAAGUAUUGGUAAUACCAAAGGUCAAUUUGUAAUUUAUUUUAUUUUAUAAAAAUAACAAUGACGUUGUAGUUACUCAAUGCUUUGGCGCAAUAAUCGCAAUUAUGAUUUCGUUGCGAAUAUAACGCGUUUUCCAGCAAUACACGUAAUUAACACGCCUCGGCGCCACCACACGCACACGUGGGAAACUAACCAAACAAAAUGAGAAACAACAAAGCCGCCGAAAAUAAAGUAAACGAUAAAGAUGCCGUGAACACAAAAGAAAUCAUUUAUUCUUUCAUGGACUCUUCUUGAAGUCAAAGUCGUAGCUGCUGAAAGUCACAGCCUGAUUAUACCUAUAGUAUAUCGAACAAAGCUAAAUAAAAAUAUUACUAUUGUUAUUUGAUGUGCAAAGUUUCUGCGCGUAAACUAUAGAUGACAUUUCUUAUUAUUAGAUCGAACAUUAGAUCGGAAUAGGGCUGUACAUAAAUAAGUGACUUUUUAUCCUUCGAGUAAAUGACUUGCGCGAAUGCCACUAUUAUGGCGUAACUUUCAAAAAGAUAACAUUAUAAUGGCGAUUAGUAGCUUAAAGGUUAAAAGAUCGUAUGCGAUAUGUACGGAGUAGAACGAACCAGUUGCGAGAAUGUUUUCACGUGAGCGUAGACGAAGCUGUGUUUAUUUGGUUAGAAUAACAAUUAACCAUCGUCACGGAAAAGUCACAAAAAAUGCCCAAAGUGGCUAAGCCACAUAAGCAGAAAAUAUAAAAUCCCCAGAAAUUGGCUGAUUACCAAUAUGGAAAAUUAAAUAUCUAUGACGACAAAAUGUAUAAGAAUCAUAUGGUUAUAACGAAUCUGAUGAAAUAUGCCCGAUGGGAAGAAAGUCAGAAACAAUGCAAAGAGCAAGAUGUUGAUCAUAGAAACAUUACAUUAUGGCUAUAUUAUAUUGAAAUAGAAAUGCGCAAUAAUUAUGCCAAAAAUUUAUUAGAUCGUGCAGUCACAAUUUUACAUACAACAAAUCAAUUUUGAUACAAAUACACAUAUGUGGAAGAAAUGUUAGAAAAUAUUACUGGUAAGAUUUGAUAUAAAAUUAGGGAUUAUUUUUUAUUAUCUAACUUAAUUUUAUAGAGAUUUAUUAUAGAAACACGUCAAGUUUUUGAGCGAUGGAUGGAAUGGUGACCUGACUAACAGGCAAGGCAAAUAUAUAUUAAAUUUGAAUUACGAUAUAAAGAAAUACAAAGAGCCAGGUAGAGAUAUAUAAUUGCGUAGGAAGAUAUAUAGUUCUGUAAUAAAUGUAGGACGCAAAGUUUAUGAAGAUGUUAUAAACUUUUUCAGAGAUGAGAACUUAGAUGAAAAGCUCUAUUUAUAGCAUUUGCAAGAUUUGAGGAAGGACAGAGAGAACAUGAUACAGCAAGAAUAAUUUCUAAGUAUGCUUUAGACAAUUUUUCAAAAGAAAGAACAAAAGAAAUAGAUAAUGCAUAUACCAUACACGAAAAGAAAU